RNAcentral lists this ribosomal RNA (765 nucleotides) under unidentified. RNAcentral describes it as "Acarospora lapponica partial large subunit ribosomal RNA". It matches the Rfam family "Eukaryotic large subunit ribosomal RNA", at positions 137 to 920 of the family's 3401-position model. The record is from RNAcentral.
UCCGAGUUGUAAUUUGCAGAGGAUGCUUCGGGUUCGGCUCCGGUCUAAGUUCCUUGGAACAGGACAUCACAGAGGGUGAGAAUCCCGUAUGUGACCGGCCGCCACGCCCGUGUGAAGCUCCUUCGACGAGUCGAGUUGUUUGGGAAUGCAGCUCAAAAUGGGUGGUAAAUUUCAUCUAAAGCUAAAUAUUGGCCAGAGACCGAUAGCGCACAAGUAGAGUGAUCGAAAGAUGAAAAGCACUUUGGAAAGAGAGUCAAACAGUACGUGAAAUUGUUGAAAGGGAAGCGCUUGCAACCAGACUUGCCCGCGGAUGAUCAGCCGGUAUUCUUACCGGUGCACUCGCCCGUGGUCAGGCCAGCAUCGGUUUGGGCGGCUGGAUAAAGUCCACUGGAAUGUAGCUCCUCUCGGGGAGUGUUAUAGCCAGAGGUGCCAUGCAGCCCGCCCGGACCGAGGACCGCGCUUCGGCUAGGAUGCUGGCGUAAUGGUUGUAAGCGACCCGUCUUGAAACACGGACCAAGGAGUCUAACAUCUAUGCGAGUGUUUGGGUGUCAAACCCAUGCGCGUAAUGAAAGUGAACGGAGGUGGGAACCCUUCAGGGUGCACCAUCGACCGAUCCUGAUGUCUUCGGAUGGAUUUGAGUAAGAGCAUAGCUGUUGGGACCCGAAAGAUGGUGAACUAUGCCUGAAUAGGGUGAAGCCAGAGGAAACUCUGGUGGAGGCUCGCAGCGGUUCUGACGUGCAAAUCGAUCGUCAAAUUUGGGUAUAG